RNAcentral lists this microRNA (23 nucleotides) under Panagrellus redivivus. RNAcentral describes it as "prd-miR-7957d-5p". Lineage: Eukaryota; Metazoa; Nematoda; Chromadorea; Rhabditida; Panagrolaimidae. The record is from miRBase by way of RNAcentral.
AAUUUGUCCUUGGUUAAAUUGCU